UACGGAGGGUGCAAGCGUUGUCCGGAUUUAUUGGGUUUAAAGGGUGCGUAGGUGGCUUUUUAAGUCUGGGGUGAAAGGCAGUGGCUCAACCACAUGCAGGGCCCUGGAUACUGGAAGGCUCGAGUACGGGUGAGGCCGGUGGAACGGGUGGUGUAGCGGUGAAAUGCAUAGAUACCAGGAGGAACACCGGUGGCGAAGGCGGGUCUCUGGGCCGAUACUGACGCUGAGGAGCGAAAGCGUGGGGAGCGAACAGG
RNAcentral lists this ribosomal RNA (254 nucleotides) under uncultured bacterium. RNAcentral's name for it is "partial 16S ribosomal RNA". It matches the Rfam family "Bacterial small subunit ribosomal RNA", at positions 524 to 776 of the family's 1533-position model. The record is from RNAcentral.